CCUACGGGUGGCAGCAGUGGGGAAUAUUGCACAAUGGGGGAAACCCUGAUGCAGCGACGCCGCGUGAGUGAAGAAGUAAUUCGUUAUGUAAAGCUCUAUCAGCAGGGAAGAAAAUGACGGUACCUGAGUAAGCAGCACCGACUAACUACGUGCCAGCAGCCGCGGUAAUACGUAGGGGGAACGCGUUAUCCGGAUUUACUGGGUGUAUAGGGAGCGUAGUCGGGAGUGCAAGUCUGGAGGGAAAGGCGGAGGCUCAACCCUAGAACUGCUCUUGAAACUGUACGGCUGGAGUGCAGGAGAGGAAAGUGGAAUUCCUAGUGUAGCGGUGAAAUGCGUAGAUAUUAGGAGGAACACCAGUGGCGAAGGCAGGUUACUGGACUGUAACUGACGUUGAGGCACGAAGGCCAGGGGAGCGAAAGGGAUUAGAUACCCUGGUAGUC
Molecule: ribosomal RNA, 440 nt
Filed under: uncultured bacterium
Lineage: Bacteria
Description: partial 16S ribosomal RNA
Rfam family: Bacterial small subunit ribosomal RNA
Source: RNAcentral